GCUGUAUUGGGAAAUAACUAAAGUGUUCUAUUUGUUUUAGAUUAUCAUGUAUAAAAUCAAAUUUCGGCCUGUUAGAAAGGGGUAUACACAAGAAGAAUUAUAUCAUUAUAUCAAAUGCUUAAGGGGAAUAACUCUCAUAUGGAGUCUCCAGAUAGCAUCGGUCAAAAUAAAACGUAACAUCCUGGGGCAACAAGAAAUAACAGGUUUGUUUGUCCAAACGCUACCUACCCAGAAAAAAGCCGACUACUCAAAUUCUUUUAAUGUCCUGAUUUGAAGAAGUUUUUU
RNAcentral lists this long non-coding RNA (285 nucleotides) under Mytilus galloprovincialis (Mediterranean mussel). The record is from RNAcentral. Lineage: Eukaryota; Metazoa; Mollusca; Bivalvia; Mytilida; Mytilidae.